This 583-nucleotide ribosomal RNA is filed under the name uncultured bacterium. Its description in RNAcentral is "partial 16S ribosomal RNA". It matches the Rfam family "Bacterial small subunit ribosomal RNA", at positions 355 to 935 of the family's 1533-position model. The record is from RNAcentral.
UGGGGAAUUUUGGACAAUGGGCGAAAGCCUGAUCCAGCAAUGCCGCGUGUGUGAAGAAGGCCUUCGGGUUGUAAAGCACUUUUGUCCGGAAAGAAAUCCUUGGCUCUAAUACAGUCGGGGGAUGACGGUACCGGAAGAAUAAGCACCGGCUAACUACGUGCCAGCAGCCGCGGUAAUACGUAGGGUGCAAGCGUUAAUCGGAAUUACUGGGCGUAAAGCGUGCGCAGGCGGUUUGCUAAGACCGAUGUGAAAUCCCCGGGCUCAACCUGGGAACUGCAUUGGUGACUGGCAGGCUAGAGUAUGGCAGAGGGGGGUAGAAUUCCACGUGUAGCAGUGAAAUGCGUAGAGAUGUGGAGGAAUACCGAUGGCGAAGGCAGCCCCCUGGGCCAAUACUGACGCUCAUGCACGAAAGCGUGGGGAGCAAACAGGAUUAGAUACCCCUGGUAGUCCACGCCCUAAACGAUGUCAACUAGUUGUUGGGGAUUCAUUUCCUUAGUAACGUAGCUAACGCGUGAAGUUGACCGCCUGGGGAGUACGGUCGCAAGAUUAAAACUUAAAUGAAUUGACGGGGUCAUAGCUGUUU